UACGGAGGUGGCAAGCGUUGCUCGGAUUUACUGGGUGUAAAGGGCAAGUAGGCGGUCCUAUAAGCCCCGUUUGAAAUGCCCUGGCUCAACCAGGGCAAGUGACGGGGGACUGCAGGACUUGAGGAUGGGAGAGGCGAGCGGAAUUCCCGGUGUAAGGGUGAAAUCUGUAGAUAUCGGGAGGAACACCAGUGGCGAAGGCGGCUCGCUGGACCAUUUCUGACGCUGAGGUGCGAAAUCUAGGGGAGCGAACAGG
This 253-nucleotide ribosomal RNA is filed under the name uncultured bacterium. RNAcentral describes it as "partial 16S ribosomal RNA". It matches the Rfam family "Bacterial small subunit ribosomal RNA", at positions 524 to 776 of the family's 1533-position model. The record is from RNAcentral.